GCCGUAACUAUAACGGUCCUAAGGUAGCGAAAUUCCUUGUCGGGUAAGUUCCGACCUGCACGAAUGGCGUAACGACUUCCCCGCUGUCUCCAACACCGGCUCGGCGAAAUUGAAUUCCCCGUGAAGAUGCGGGGUACCCGCAGUUAGACGGAAAGACCCCGUGCACCUUUACUACAACUUUGCAGUGGCAUUAGAGAAUGGAUGUGUAGGAUAGGCGGGAGCCUUUGAAGCAUUGGCGCUAGCUAGUGUGGAGGCAACCUUGAAAUACCGCCCUUUUGUUCUUUGAUGUCUAACCGCGGUCUGUCAUCCAGAUCCGGGACCCUGCAUGGUGGGUAGUUUGACUGGGGCGGUCGCCUCCCAAAGAGUAACGGAGGCGCGCGAUGGUGGGCUCAGGCUGGUCGGAAAUCAGCCGCUGAGUGCAAUGGCACAAGCCCGCCUGACUGCGAGACUGACAAGUCGAGCAGGGACGAAAGUCGGCCAUAGUGAUCCGGUGGUUCCGCGUGAGUGGGCCAUCGCUCAACGGAUAAAAGGUACGCCGGGGAUAACAGGCUGAUACCACCCAAGCGUCCACAGCGACGGUGGUGUUUGGCACCUCGAUGUCGACUCAUCACAUCCUGGGGCUGGAGCAGGUCCCAAGGGUUCGGCUGUUCGCCGAUUAAAGUGGUACGUGAGUUGGGUUCAAAACGUCGUGAGACAGUUUGGUCCCUAUCUGCUGUGGGUGUUCGAGACUUGAGAGGAGCCGUCCUUAGUACGAGAGGACCGGGAUGGACUUACCUCUGGUGUACCGGUUGUGACGCCAGUCGCAGCGCCGGGUAGCUAUGUAGUGAAGGGAUAAACGCUGAAAGCAUCUAAGCGUGAAACCCGCCUCAAAACUAGGUCUCGCUGAGAGUCGUGGUAGACCACCACGUUGAUAGGCCGCAUGUGCAAGUGCAGUGAUGCAUUCAGCUUAGCGGUACUAAUAGCUCGAUCGGCUUGAUUCU
RNAcentral lists this ribosomal RNA (980 nucleotides) under symbiont metagenome. RNAcentral describes it as "bacterial LSU rRNA". It matches the Rfam family "Bacterial large subunit ribosomal RNA", at positions 1933 to 2925 of the family's 2925-position model. The record is from RNAcentral.